This is a long non-coding RNA of Bubalus bubalis (water buffalo), 384 nucleotides long. RefSeq lists it as uncharacterized. The transcript has 2 exons. NCBI's taxonomy places the organism in Eukaryota, Metazoa, Chordata, Mammalia, Artiodactyla, Bovidae. The record is from RefSeq and is a predicted model, not a curated record.
CGGGGGCCGACGGGAGUGGGCGGGUUCUUGCCGGGGUCCGGGCUCCCAGAGGGCUCUGGGGUGGUCCCCUGCCAGCCUGAUGCGAGGCGUGAGCUUUGAGUUGGAAGUGGGCAGCAAGGCAAGAAGGGUGAACUGUAAAGAAGAGUCUACCUUAACUUUAAGAUGUGGUACAGGUCUUCCGUGGCAGUCCGGUGGCUGAGACUCCGUGCUCUCAAGGCAGGGGCCUGGGUUCUAUCCCUGGUCCAACAGUUGGAUCCCACAUGCUGCAACUAAAGAUCAGCUAAAGAUUCCACAUGCCGCCAGGAAGAUCGAAGAUCGAAGAAAGAAAAGAAAAAAAAAAAAAACUCAAAAAGGUGUCAUUCAAUAAAUAACCUUUUGAAUGCC